Helianthus annuus (common sunflower) is the source of this 95-nucleotide non-coding RNA. The record is from Rfam. Lineage: Eukaryota; Viridiplantae; Streptophyta; Magnoliopsida; Asterales; Asteraceae.
ACCUGGCGUGUGAUGAAUCUCUAAUAACAAAUGGGUAAUUUGCGUCUGAAAGUUUUUCAUUGAUGCUACAUCACCUUGGAGAACUGAUGCCUGCU